CGGAGUAUAGCGCAGCCUGGUAGCGCAUCUGCUUUGGGAGCAGAGGGUCAGAGGUUCGAAUCCUCUUACUCCGACCA
Molecule: transfer RNA, 77 nt
Filed under: Mariprofundaceae bacterium
Lineage: Bacteria; Pseudomonadati; Pseudomonadota; Candidatius Mariprofundia; Mariprofundales; Mariprofundaceae
Description: tRNA-Pro
Rfam family: tRNA
About the family: Transfer RNA (tRNA) molecules are approximately 80 nucleotides in length. Their secondary structure includes four short double-helical elements and three loops (D, anti-codon, and T loops).
Source: RNAcentral